This is a long non-coding RNA of Arvicola amphibius (Eurasian water vole), 563 nucleotides long. RefSeq lists it as uncharacterized. NCBI's taxonomy places the organism in Eukaryota, Metazoa, Chordata, Mammalia, Rodentia, Cricetidae. The record is from RefSeq and is a predicted model, not a curated record. The transcript is spliced from 5 exons.
GGCCUCUGCCAAGGCUGCUGUGUCCUGCGGAGCUCCGAGCACGUGUAGUGCCCAGCUGCCAAUUUGAGGAGAUGCCUGCCCUGGAUGACUUGGAAGUAGGGUGGUCUUUGCCCCCCUGAGAAGUAGUGCAGGUGUGGUUAUCAGGAGAAUGAGAAAACUGCCUCCAUCAGGACUUCAGGUUUCUGACAACACUGUGUUUUGAGUAAUGUGUGCAAGGACUUCUCAAAUUGUGUUGAGGAUGGAACCCAGAGCCUGCCAGCUGUGCUACAUCUUCAGCCCGAGAACGUCUUUCAAAGAUGUUUUCCUCAAACAUUGAAAAAGCGGUGGUGCAUCCUUUACUCCUAGCACUGAGGAGGCAGAGGCAGGCGGUUCUCAAACGUGGCUCAAUUGGGGCUGCAGGCUUUUGCUAAACCUAAUGUUUUAAUAUAUUUUGUCCUUCAUAGAUACAGCCUUUUCCUAUUAAAAAGGUCCUUAUUGCUAGCCCAGAUCCUGAGCCUUCUCUCCCCUCCUCCCAGGCCAGGUUUCAGAGGACGGUCCUCCAGUUUCCCAUCUUUGUACCCCCA